CCUACGGGUGGCAGCAGUGAGGAAUAUUGGUCAAUGGCCGCAAGCCUGAACCAGCCAAGUCGCGUGAAGGAUUACUGCCCUACGGGUUGUAAACUUCUUUUAUAAAGGAAUAAAGUGAGGCACGUGUGCCUUUUUGUAUGUACUUUAUGAAUAAGGAUCGGCUAACUCCGUGCCAGCAGCCGCGGUAAUACGGAGGUUACGAGCGUUAUCCGGAUUUAUUGGGUUUAAAGGGGGCGUAGGUGGUUUGGUAAGUCAGUCGUUAAAGUUUGGGGCUCAACCGUAAAAUUGCAAUUGAUACUGGCAGUCUUGAGUGCAGUUGAGGUAGGCGGAAUGCGUGGUGUAGCGGUGAAAUGCUUAGAUAUCACGAAGAACUCCGAUUGCGAAGGCAGCUUACUAAGCUGCAACUGACAUUGAUGCUCGAAAGUGUGGGUAUCAAACAGGAUUAGAUACCCUAGUAGUC
RNAcentral lists this ribosomal RNA (460 nucleotides) under uncultured bacterium. RNAcentral describes it as "partial 16S ribosomal RNA". It matches the Rfam family "Bacterial small subunit ribosomal RNA", at positions 338 to 795 of the family's 1533-position model. The record is from RNAcentral.